CCAAUGACCCCUGUUUCUUCCCUACCCCUUAGAAAGAUUUUUUUUGUCACAACCCUAAACCUAAAGAGAUCCCACCAGCGGCGCCCCCCACCAAUCUCUAAGCUUCACUGCUGCUAAACAACACCCAAACCCACUAUAACUCCACCCCAAUCUCACUCAUGGUCCCCCCUUCUCUUUUCUCCUUCUUCCACGUCACACAUUCCGUACCAAGCUUUAUCAUUUUCACGUAUUUUUCUCUUCAUUUUUCUUUUUCUUAAUUUGUCUCUUUCAGGCGAGAAUAGAAAAAUGGGGUGCGUAGGAUCGAGUUACACUAUAUUUACUCCAUCCAUUUGUCUUAUCUCGUCUAUUGUAGGGAUUUUCGGAUUUGGUUUGUGGUCCCACGCGUUUUCUUGGUAAAGAAGAAGAAAAUUCGAGAGUGAGGUAUAUAUUUGGAGGUUUUUGGACAGAAGGAGGGGGGUUCAAGAAGAAAAUUAGUUUGAGAGAGAGGAAAAGCCAGGGUUCUUUCUUUGAGAUUCAUUUUCGGAUUUUCAAGUUUUUCUUUAUUUUAGAUUUCAGAAGAAAAAAAAACAAAAAAACGAAAAUACAUUCCUGUGUCUUCCUUUGAUUCCGAGAUUUAAUUUUAAGGAUGGAAUUUGAUUGAGGAGGAGUGCUUUCAAGCUCGUCACCGUUGUUGGCUGCCAUUCAGGGUUUAAAUCCAGCGGUUUCGGUUUGAAGUUUAUUGGUAUUUCUCGCUUCAACAAUUUUGACAUUAGUUUCGCUUGUAAUUGCAAUCUUCAGCAAUUAAUUGAAACCUCAUUCAGGUAUGGAUCCACUUACCAAGGCUAGAGUGUCAAUGGUGGAACAUGUUCACAUUACUUGAGCAGCAUGAUCUGAUGGGUAAAUUAGGGACUCUUAUUUCAUUGAUGGACAUCACCCCCCAUCCCGAUCUUGUAGAAGAAAUGUUGAUAUUUUGGGACCCACAGGGGAUGGUAUUUAAGUUUGGGGAUCUUAAGAUGACACCCACCUUAGCUGAGAUAGCCGGAUUAACUCGCUUGCCAUACCUAGACAAGGAUUUGAUUUACACAAGGGUUCAUUCAAGCACAAAGUUCCUUAAGAUCAUAGGGAUGGAUUUGGAAACCACAUGGGAUGUCUAGAUCAAUCUUGGGUACCUUUGGACUUUUUAUUCGAGAGGUUUGCUCGUCCUACUGGGUAUGAGACUUUCGUAGAUGAAUUUUCCAUAUCAUAUGACUCUUGGAAGAAGAUGCGUCCUAUGGUCUUCGCUAUUGCAUUGUUGGGUCUAUUGGUAUUUCCUUUGUAGGUUAGACAUAUUAGCACGCGCAUGGGGUCAACAGCCUUUGCACUUUUCCAUGAUAAACACAGUAGUAAGGUCACCUUGGUUCCGACAAUUUUGGCAGAAAUUUAUCGUGUUUUGACUAGGAUUCGAGAAGGUGAGAGGUUCAUUGAGGGAAGCAACUUGUUGGUGCAGCUGUGGAUGAUUGAACACUUACAUCCCACCACCAUGUUUGAGAAAGAUGUGAUUGACUGUUGUCUUAGAGAUCGAGUGAAGCGCAUCGAGCAUAGAAUGGCGUUCGAUAAGUUUGCCUUACCACUCGCAGUUUAGGCUUGGGUUGAUUACUUAGGAUCCUUGACUGAAGAGAAGAUUUUGUGGUCAUACCUUUGGAUUGACUUGGACGUGAUCUUAGCAGGAUCUCGCGUGCAAGACUUCUUGGUACUAAUUGGACUUUGGUGUACUCAACUAUAUACCCCUGCUAGAGUGAUGCGUCAGUUAGGGAGACGACAAGAAGUCCCAUGCAUUCAUGAUUCUCGUAACUUCAUUAGGGAGUUUGACACUAUGACUCACAGGGAGGUCGACAUCCAGACCUAUUGGCAACAUGCAAUGAAGAUGGGUAGAUAUACUUUAGCAGCUGACCCGCAUUCACCUGGGUAUACCUAUGAGUACUUCAUAUGGCUAUAGUCUACUCAGUAGGGGUUAGCAGGCCAUUGCCCCGACGUGCUAGAGUAGUAUUUGACGAGGAGUCCACCUCACGGAUAUUACUUAGAGAAUUGAUGGAUCAAUUUACUCAAGCAGAGGAGGCCCACGCAGCAGAGAGAGUCGGGGUCCAAGCUACAUUUCAGUCAUUGAGAUCACAGUUGGCAGGUUUGGUAGAGAACAUGGGACAACACCGUGAGUACCUUACUAGAGUCAACCUUCUAGAUGCAGGCGCGCAUUCCAGGAUUCUCAUUCCCAGCUUUGAGGUGUCCUUGCAGGGUAUAAUAUAGAGCUUAGAUUUGACCGGAUUGACAGGGCCAUCUGGAUUUUCAUCAGACCCAUCCCAGCCAGGACCGUCGCAUUUAGGAGCAGCUUGAGGAGUCAUUCUAUUUAGGUGUUUUGAGAUUGUCUUAUGUUGUCUUUUACUUUCGUAUCUUGUCUAGAGGUACUGAGUUCUUUAGGUAGUGUCAGAGUCUGUCGUAGUGUAGUUUAGUAUGUCGGGUCUUUCAUUAUCGUAAUUCCCAUUGUAUUUUAAUAUCGAAAAGUUUUUAAAUGAAAAAUCCAAAAAAGAUUUUAUUUUUA
This is a long non-coding RNA of Nicotiana tabacum (common tobacco), 2551 nucleotides long. RefSeq lists it as uncharacterized. The record is from RefSeq and is a predicted model, not a curated record. Lineage: Eukaryota; Viridiplantae; Streptophyta; Magnoliopsida; Solanales; Solanaceae.